CCGAGCUUAGCUCAGGUGGCAGAGCGAUGGUCUGUAACACCAUAGGUCACCAGUUCGACCCUGGUAGCUCGGA
RNAcentral lists this transfer RNA (73 nucleotides) under Pseudozyma flocculosa PF-1. RNAcentral's name for it is "tRNA-Tyr (GTA) (tRNA-Tyr-GTA-3-1)". It matches the Rfam family "tRNA". Rfam says of the family: Transfer RNA (tRNA) molecules are approximately 80 nucleotides in length. Their secondary structure includes four short double-helical elements and three loops (D, anti-codon, and T loops). Lineage: Eukaryota; Fungi; Basidiomycota; Ustilaginomycetes; Ustilaginales; Ustilaginaceae. The record is from RNAcentral.